UCUCUGAGCAAGGCUUAACACC
RNAcentral lists this microRNA (22 nucleotides) under Homo sapiens (human). Its description in RNAcentral is "hsa-miR-4653-5p". Lineage: Eukaryota; Metazoa; Chordata; Mammalia; Primates; Hominidae. The record is from miRBase by way of RNAcentral.